UACUGUUUGUGGAUGGUGUUCAGCACUAAGGACAGACAUGUUCGUGUGUGAAUGGUGUACAGCACCAGGGACAUAUCUGUUUUAUU
RNAcentral lists this microRNA precursor (86 nucleotides) under Branchiostoma floridae (Florida lancelet). Its description in RNAcentral is "mir-2060 microRNA precursor family". It matches the Rfam family "mir-2060 microRNA precursor family". Lineage: Eukaryota; Metazoa; Chordata; Leptocardii; Amphioxiformes; Branchiostomatidae. The record is from Rfam by way of RNAcentral.